Molecule: transfer RNA, 75 nt
Filed under: Methanothermus fervidus DSM 2088
Lineage: Archaea; Methanobacteriati; Methanobacteriota; Methanobacteria; Methanobacteriales; Methanothermaceae
Description: tRNA-Ile (GAT) (tRNA-Ile-GAT-1-1)
Rfam family: tRNA
About the family: Transfer RNA (tRNA) molecules are approximately 80 nucleotides in length. Their secondary structure includes four short double-helical elements and three loops (D, anti-codon, and T loops).
Source: Rfam by way of RNAcentral
GGGCCCGUGGCUCAGCCUGGUUAGAGCGCACGGCUGAUAACCGUGAGGUCCUGGGUUCAAAUCCCAGCGGGCCCA